GAUGAACGCUGGCGGCGUGCCUAAUACAUGCAAGUCGAGCGAACAGACGAGGAGCUUGCUCCUCUGACGUUAGCGGCGGACGGGUGAGUAACACGUGGAUAACCUACCUAUAAGACUGGGAUAACUUCGGGAAACCGGAGCUAAUACCGGAUAAUAUAUUGAACCGCAUGGUUCAAUAGUGAAAGACGGUUUUGCUGUCACUUAUAGAUGGAUCCGCGCCGCAUUAGCUAGUUGGUAAGGUAACGGCUUACCAAGGCAACGAUGCGUAGCCUACCUGAGAGGGUGAUCGGCCACACUGGAACUGAGACACGGUCCAGACUCCUACGGGAGGCAGCAGUAGGGAAUCUUCCGCAAUGGGCGAAAGCCUGAUGGAGCAACGCCGCGUGAGUGAUGAAGGUCUUCGGAUCGUAAAACUCUGUUAUUAGGGAAGAACAAAUGUGUAAGUAACUAUGCACGUCUUGACGGUACCUAAUCAGAAAGCCACGGCUAACUACGUG
This 497-nucleotide ribosomal RNA is filed under the name uncultured bacterium. RNAcentral's name for it is "partial 16S ribosomal RNA". It matches the Rfam family "Bacterial small subunit ribosomal RNA", at positions 28 to 507 of the family's 1533-position model. The record is from RNAcentral.